Molecule: unclassified non-coding RNA, 334 nt
Filed under: soil metagenome
Description: partial contains 5.8S ribosomal RNA, internal transcribed spacer 2, and large subunit ribosomal RNA
Rfam family: 5.8S ribosomal RNA (bases 1-120)
Source: RNAcentral
GAUGAAGAACGUAGCGAAAUGCGAUAAGUAAUGUGAAUUGCAGAAUUCAGUGAAUCAUCGAAUCUUUGAACGCACAUUGCGCCCGCCAGUAUUCUGGCGGGCAUGCCUGUUCGAGCGUCAUUUCAACCAUCAAGCCCCAGGCUUGUGUUGGGGACCUGCGGCUGCCGCAGGCCCUGAAAACCAGUGGCGGGCUCGCUGUCACACCGGGCGUAGUAGAUUUUAUCUCGCUCUGGGCGUGCUGCGGGUUCCGGCCGUGAAGCCCCCCAAUUUUCAAGGUUGACCUCGGAUCAGGUAGGAAUACCCGCUGAACUUAAGCAUAUCAAUAAGCGGAGGA